This is a non-coding RNA of Phthorimaea operculella (potato tuberworm), 72 nucleotides long. Lineage: Eukaryota; Metazoa; Arthropoda; Insecta; Lepidoptera; Gelechiidae. The record is from the annotation of a GenBank genome assembly.
GUAUCGAUAGUUCAGUGGCAGAGCGGUGGGGCGUUUACCCAUGCGGCCCGGGUUCGAUUCCCGGUCGAUGUA